CAUCUGCAAAUCAAUUUUUGUCGACAAAUUAAAUCAAUUAGCAAUUAUAUUUGGGAAUCCCUAAUCCCUUCUCCAAAAUCAGUUCACACACACACAAAUCACUUUUCUUUGAGAAGGAAAAUCGGUAGAGAAGAGAGAGAGCAGCGGCAAGAAUUUAGUAGGAAUUCACGCUUAAUUUGAUUACACCACCAACCAAGAAAGCGCCGAGAGAGAAGGAGCACAAUCCUCCUACAACCCAAUUCCCUCACACACCAACGUGACAUCCCAAUGGCUCAGUUCAUCAUCAACAUGAAUGCUUCACUGCCACAGUCGCAGAAGUUCAUUAUACAAGUCUUGGAUAACACUCACCUUUUUGUGAGGCCGGAUAUGGGUGGUAUGAUAAAAAGUGCUAUCGCG
Molecule: long non-coding RNA, 396 nt
Organism: Salvia splendens (bonfire salvia)
Lineage: Eukaryota; Viridiplantae; Streptophyta; Magnoliopsida; Lamiales; Lamiaceae
Exons: 3
Source: RefSeq, a predicted model, not a curated record